RNAcentral lists this ribosomal RNA (2927 nucleotides) under Escherichia coli. RNAcentral's name for it is "bacterial LSU rRNA". It matches the Rfam family "Bacterial large subunit ribosomal RNA". The record is from RNAcentral. Lineage: Bacteria; Pseudomonadati; Pseudomonadota; Gammaproteobacteria; Enterobacterales; Enterobacteriaceae.
GGGUUGUGAGGUUAAGCGACUAAGCGUACACGGUGGAUGCCCUGGCAGUCAGAGGCGAUGAAGGACGUGCUAAUCUGCGAUAAGCGUCGGUAAGGUGAUAUGAACCGUUAUAACCGGCGAUUUCCGAAUGGGGAAACCCAGUGUGAUUCGUCACACUAUCAUUAACUGAAUCCAUAGGUUAAUGAGGCGAACCGGGGGAACUGAAACAUCUAAGUACCCCGAGGAAAAGAAAUCAACCGAGAUUCCCCCAGUAGCGGCGAGCGAACGGGGAGCAGCCCAGAGCCUGAAUCAGUGUGUGUGUUAGUGGAAGCGUCUGGAAAGGCGCGCGAUACAGGGUGACAGCCCCGUACACAAAAAUGCACAUGCUGUGAGCUCGAUGAGUAGGGCGGGACACGUGGUAUCCUGUCUGAAUAUGGGGGGACCAUCCUCCAAGGCUAAAUACUCCUGACUGACCGAUAGUGAACCAGUACCGUGAGGGAAAGGCGAAAAGAACCCCGGCGAGGGGAGUGAAAAAGAACCUGAAACCGUGUACGUACAAGCAGUGGGAGCACAGAGCAAUCUGUGUGACUGCGUACCUUUUGUAUAAUGGGUCAGCGACUUAUAUUCUGUAGCAAGGUUAACCGAAUAGGGGAGCCGAAGGGAAACCGAGUCUUAACUGGGCGUUAAGUUGCAGGGUAUAGACCCGAAACCCGGUGAUCUAGCCAUGGGCAGGUUGAAGGUUGGGUAACACUAACUGGAGGACCGAACCGACUAAUGUUGAAAAAUUAGCGGAUGACUUGUGGCUGGGGGUGAAAGGCCAAUCAAACCGGGAGAUAGCUGGUUCUCCCCGAAAGCUAUUUAGGUAGCGCCUCGUGAAUUCAUCUCCGGGGGUAGAGCACUGUUUCGGCAAGGGGGUCAUCCCGACUUACCAACCCGAUGCAAACUGCGAAUACCGGAGAAUGUUAUCACGGGAGACACACGGCGGGUGCUAACGUCCGUCGUGAAGAGGGAAACAACCCAGACCGCCAGCUAAGGUCCCAAAGUCAUGGUUAAGUGGGAAACGAUGUGGGAAGGCCCAGACAGCCAGGAUGUUGGCUUAGAAGCAGCCAUCAUUUAAAGAAAGCGUAAUAGCUCACUGGUCGAGUCGGCCUGCGCGGAAGAUGUAACGGGGCUAAACCAUGCACCGAAGCUGCGGCAGCGACGCUUAUGCGUUGUUGGGUAGGGGAGCGUUCUGUAAGCCUGUGAAGGUGUACUGUGAGGUAUGCUGGAGGUAUCAGAAGUGCGAAUGCUGACAUAAGUAACGAUAAAGCGGGUGAAAAGCCCGCUCGCCGGAAGACCAAGGGUUCCUGUCCAACGUUAAUCGGGGCAGGGUGAGUCGACCCCUAAGGCGAGGCCGAAAGGCGUAGUCGAUGGGAAACAGGUUAAUAUUCCUGUACUUGGUGUUACUGCGAAGGGGGGACGGAGAAGGCUAUGUUGGCCGGGCGACGGUUGUCCCGGUUUAAGCGUGUAGGCUGGUUUUCCAGGCAAAUCCGGAAAAUCAAGGCUGAGGCGUGAUGACGAGGCACUACGGUGCUGAAGCAACAAAUGCCCUGCUUCCAGGAAAAGCCUCUAAGCAUCAGGUAACAUCAAAUCGUACCCCAAACCGACACAGGUGGUCAGGUAGAGAAUACCAAGGCGCUUGAGAGAACUCGGGUGAAGGAACUAGGCAAAAUGGUGCCGUAACUUCGGGAGAAGGCACGCUGAUAUGUAGGUGAAGUCCCUCGCGGAUGGAGCUGAAAUCAGUCGAAGAUACCAGCUGGCUGCAACUGUUUAUUAAAAACACAGCACUGUGCAAACACGAAAGUGGACGUAUACGGUGUGACGCCUGCCCGGUGCCGGAAGGUUAAUUGAUGGGGUUAGCGCAAGCGAAGCUCUUGAUCGAAGCCCCGGUAAACGGCGGCCGUAACUAUAACGGUCCUAAGGUAGCGAAAUUCCUUGUCGGGUAAGUUCCGACCUGCACGAAUGGCGUAAUGAUGGCCAGGCUGUCUCCACCCGAGACUCAGUGAAAUUGAACUCGCUGUGAAGAUGCAGUGUACCCGCGGCAAGACGGAAAGACCCCGUGAACCUUUACUAUAGCUUGACACUGAACAUUGAGCCUUGAUGUGUAGGAUAGGUGGGAGGCUUUGAAGUGUGGACGCCAGUCUGCAUGGAGCCGGCCUUGAAAUACCACCCUUUAAUGUUUGAUGUUCUAACGUGGACCCGUAAUCCGGGUUGCGGACAGUGUCUGGUGGGUAGUUUGACUGGGGCGGUCUCCUCCUAAAGAGUAACGGAGGAGCACGAAGGUUGGCUAAUCCUGGUCGGACAUCAGGAGGUUAGUGCAAUGGCAUAAGCCAGCUUGACUGCGAGCGUGACGGCGCGAGCAGGUGCGAAAGCAGGUCAUAGUGAUCCGGUGGUUCUGAAUGGAAGGGCCAUCGCUCAACGGAUAAAAGGUACUCCGGGGAUAACAGGCUGAUACCGCCCAAGAGUUCAUAUCGACGGCGGUGUUUGGCACCUCGAUGUCGGCUCAUCACAUCCUGGGGCUGAAGUAGGUCCCAAGGGUAUGGCUGUUCGCCAUUUAAAGUGGUACGCGAGCUGGGUUUAGAACGUCGUGAGACAGUUCGGUCCCUAUCUGCCGUGGGCGCUGGAGAACUGAGGGGGGCUGCUCCUAGUACGAGAGGACCGGAGUGGACGCAUCACUGGUGUUCGGGUUGUCAUGCCAAUGGCACUGCCCGGUAGCUAAAUGCGGAAGAGAUAAGUGCUGAAAGCAUCUAAGCACGAAACUUGCCCCGAGAUGAGUUCUCCCUGACUCCUUGAGAGUCCUGAAGGAACGUUGAAGACGACGACGUUGAUAGGCCGGGUGUGUAAGCGCAGCGAUGCGUUGAGCUAACCGGUACUAAUGAACCGUGAGGCUUAACCUUACAACGCCGAAG